CUGCCCUCUGCCAUGUGAGGUCACAGUGUUCCUCCCUCCUGAGGAUGCAGUGUUCAUGAAAGCAAACACUGGGCCCUCACCAGGCAACAAACCUGCUGGUGCCUUCAUCUUGGACUUCCCAGCCUUCGGAACUGUUAAGAAGCUCCACUGCGCUUUGUCCAUUGCAAGUUGAGAAGUGAGGCCCCAGCUGUCACAUACAGUGAGUGAAGAAGCUGAGCUUCCCUCAACGCCUGGGCCUGUAUGAAUUUUUUUUUUUUUUUUUUUUUUGGAGACGGAGUCUCACUUUGUUGCCCAGGCUGGAGUGCAAUGGCACUAUCUCAGGCCACUGCAACCUCUGCCUCCCAGGUUCAAGCGAUUCUUCUGCCUCAGCCUCCUGAGUAGCUGGGAUUACAGAAGUGCACCAUUACAGCUUGCUAAUUUUUGUAUUUUUAGUAGAGAAGGGUUUUCACCAUGUUGGCCAGGUUGGUCUCGAACUCUUGGCCUCAGGUGAUCCGCCCGCACAGCCUCCCAAAGUGUUGGGAUUACAGGCGUGAGCCACUGCGCCCGGCCUUAGGUAAGUUCCUUUUUUUUUUUUUUUGAGACGGAGUUUCACUCUGUUGCCCAGGCUGGGGUGCAAUGGCAUGAUCUCGGCUCACCGCAACCUCUGCCUCCUGGGUUCAAGCAAUUCUCCUGCCUCAGCCUCCUGAGGAGCUGGGAUUACAGGCAUGCACCAUCAUGCCCGGCUAAUUUUGUAUUUUUAGUAGAGACGGGGUUUCUCCAUGUUGAGGCUGGUCUCAAACUCCUGACCUCAGGUGAUUCACCCGCCUCGGCCUCCCAAACUGCUGGGAUUAUAGGCAUAAGCCACCGCGCCCGGCCUUAGGCUCCAUCACAAGAGGGAGCCCCAUUGCUAGUCCCCAUCCUCAAAGCCUCUGCGUGAUGUUGUCUACUGUUACUCUUCACUACCCUGUGGGAGCCAAAGCCCUGGACAUAAGAACAGAAGGUGCAAAAGUUUAGGCUGGGCGCAGUGGCUCACACCUGUAAUCCCAGCACUUUGGGAGGCCGAGGCCGGUGGAUCACCUGAGGUCAGGAGUUCAAGACCAGCCUGGCCAAUAUGGCGAAACCUGUCUCUACUAAAACUACAAAAAUUAGCUGGGCAUGGCGGCACGUGCCUAUAACCCCAGCUACUGGGCUGAAGUAGGAGAAUCACUUGACCCUGGGAGGCGGAGGUUGCAGUGAGCAAAGAUCGAAUCGGCUUCAAAAAAAAAAAAAAGCAGUGGUGGCUGAGAGGAAGAACUGACACCUUUGUGCUAUCAGAGCACUUUGCAGAGGAGCUGUUAGUGGCCCUGUAGGAGUCUGCUGGCCAUACAUCUGGGUGUCAAAUCAAGAGAGCAUGAGAAGUUGGACAGGAAAGGUCCAAGGCAAAAUGGUUACUAAAGGCCAUCCCUGAUCCUGACCCUAAAAGAAGAAAAGGCCCUUUGCUCUUGGCAUGCUUUUGCAGGAGUGUCUCAGUCUGUUUGGGCUGCUAUAACAUUGACUGGGUGAUCUGCCUGCCUGGCCUCCCAAAGUGCUGGGGUUACAGGUGUGAGCCGCUGCACCAGGCCUUGAGGUCAGGAGUUCGAGACCAGCCUGGCCAACAUGGUGAAACCUGUCUUUACUAAAAAUACAGAAAUUAGCCAGGCAUGGAGGCGCAUGCCUGUAAUCCCAGCUACUGGGGAGGCUGAGGCAGGAGAAUCGCUUGAACCCAGAAGGUGGAGGUUGCGGUGAGCCCAGAUAGUGCCAUUGCACUCUAGCCUGGCCAACAAGAGUGAAACUCUGUCUCAAAAAAUAAAUAAACAAACAAACAAACAACAAC
Molecule: long non-coding RNA, 1831 nt
Filed under: Homo sapiens (human)
Lineage: Eukaryota; Metazoa; Chordata; Mammalia; Primates; Hominidae
Description: HSALNT0308542
Source: RNAcentral